UACGGAGGGUGCGAGCGUUGUCCGGAAUCACUGGGCGUAAAGGGCGCGUAGGCGGCGCGGAUAGUCGGCGGUGAAAGCCCGGAGCUCAACUCCGGGUCGGCCGUCGAUACUUCCGGGCUUGAGCACUGUAGAGGCAGAUGGAAUUCCGGGUGUAGCGGUGGAAUGCGUAGAGAUCCGGAAGAACACCGGUGGCGAAGGCGGUCUGCUGGGCAGUUGCUGACGCUGAUGCGCGACAGCGUGGGGAGCAAACCGAGG
RNAcentral lists this ribosomal RNA (255 nucleotides) under uncultured bacterium. RNAcentral describes it as "partial 16S ribosomal RNA". It matches the Rfam family "Bacterial small subunit ribosomal RNA", at positions 524 to 778 of the family's 1533-position model. The record is from RNAcentral.